AGACAGGGUAGCUUAUUACCAGCAGACCCUCACUGCAUGCAGUGCUAGAGGCUAGUAGUCCCGGGCACCAGCAGAUCUGGUGUCUGAUGAAGGUAACUUCCUGGUACACAGACAGUACCUUCUGCUGUGUCACCAUGAGGAGGGGCGAGGAGCUCUCUGGGGUCUGGAUCUGUUUUGUAAGGGCAGUUAUCACACUCACAAGACUCUACCUCCAUGUCCAAGUCACCUCCCAAAGGUCCCAUCACCUAACAUCGUCACUCUGGGAUUAGGAUUGGAGACACAAAUUCCACGGUGAUGGCCCAGAUGACCAGCUGGCUUGUGUCCAGUGGUGUGCUGGUAAGCAGACUCUGCAGGAGAAGGUCAGCAGUGUUAACCAGUGUCACACCCUCUUGUGCUUGGAGGAUAUUUGUUGACCAAAAGUUCAAAGCUCAUGGACAGAAAAGCUAGUGGACUACAUGGCCGGAGAACUCAGCCAAGGUGCUCCAAGGACAGGACAAAGUCCACAGACACAGCUGAGUUUCUGGGUGUGGAUUUCACUUCCUCUUGGUAACUUGUUCCUGGCAGUAAACAAAUACCAUGAGCACAAUUAUAUUGAGUACACAUUCAUGAGAAGUUUUGAGGUAAAUUCAAGUUUCAUCCUGGCCAAUCGGGACGCCACAAGGAGCCAUGUGGAGCCACAGGGAGGGCCAUCCUGACCAGGUGCAGGCUGGAGCCUGCAGACUUAUUGGCAACUGUCAGCAGCAGGCACCGAUGUAGGCCUUCCUACUCUCCUGUAGUGCUUCAGGAAGUCUAUCUGAUGAAAUUCUGUUUCCUCGACAAACAAGGACAUCACCUCGGCAUGGACACCUGCACUUGGCCCUCCCAGCCUGUCCUGGGCACAGCUUCUAGACUGUUGGCUCCCUCUGGCUUUACUGAAGACAACAAUAUUGCAAAGGUUUGCACACACAUUGUUUUCAUCCCGUAAUAUUUCUGGAGUCAGAGUACAUCUGUAGUUAUAUGGGUUGUGAUAGCCUCAUUGCAAGUGUCCUUCUUUCUUGGUUUAUGAACAUGAAGGACUAUGUGACUGUCACAAGCAUCUCAGAGCUGAUGCAAUAGAGAUGCCUCAAGCAUUAGACAGUGGACGUCAAAGCCACAAUCUUGCUAAGUAGGCAGGAGUUCUUGUCCCACUGCACUAAUCUCAUACAGUAAGUCCCUGACUUUUGAAUAUUUGAGUUGUUAACUUUCACAGAUAUGAAAGGACCUCACAUCACAAACACUCAUAGAUGUGAACAGAUCUUGGAAGUAGCUCUUGUGUCUGCAAGACAUGAUCACAGUUGUGCUGCUGUAUGCUUACUGUAAUAUACAGUGUGUACAGUGCAAUAGUGUACAGUAGUACAUUACAUUGAGGGACUUACUGCAUUUUUAUGUGUGUUUAUGCUUUACAUUUUAUAUUUGUAUCAAAGGUGUAUAAGACUCAGUUUGUUGGACUUAUGAACAAAUUUGACUUGUGAAUGUUCUCCUAGAAUGAAACUCAUUUGUAAGUUGGGGACUUACUGUACUCUCUGGAAAUUAGGCUCUAUUUUAUUGGGGGCUUUUUGUUUUUGGUACCAGGGAUCAAACUCGGGUCCUUGUGCUUGCAAGGCAGGCGGCGGAACCACUGAGCUAAAUCCCCAGCCCCUAGGCUCUAUUUUAAAAAACAUAAUGUUGUUUCAUAAAAAACUACAGUACAAAAGCCAUAGUAAGAUUCUGUUCCUAGAUAACAGACCCUGUAGCCAAACCAGCACAGAUUGUUGUGGUGCAGCAGGGUGGGGUCCCUGGGGCUCUGUGGUCCUCACGGAAUGGUAGGGGUGGUACUGGGCACCUUGGAGCUCUGAUGUCCUCACAGUAACACGAGUGCCUGGUCUCCAGCUCCUCUCAAGUCCAAAAUGUAAAUGUUGAACAGACUCUGUAGUUUUGACAAUUUUGAGAAAGUUUUAUCUUAAAUAAAAAGGAGAAACAUAAAAUAAGAUGCUAACCCUAAAGCCUACAUUUCUUCCCCAAAAUUCCUAGAGAAAAACAGUAGUACAUUUUUUAUGUUGCUAUAAUUGUCAGUUUUGUAAAACUGAAGGAUGAAACACCGUGCUAGAUAUUACUCGAGACAUGUGCUCAGAUUUAACUGUCUGGAGGAUUGGUAAUGUUAGCUGCUGCCUGUUAAUAGUUAAACCUGUUGUUUCAUGCACGAAUCAUACGAUAAGCAAAAUAUUCAAGAAAGAAAAGAAAACUUAAGAGACGUAUUAGUUUCCUAUGGUGGCUCGAAUAAUGCCUGUGAACUUCAUGGCUCUAACUACACGGCCUGUUACCUGAAGGUCCGGGGUGUCAGGGCACUGAGUUGUGUCUAUCUCAGUGAAAUUAUGGCGGCAGCUGGGCAGUGUUCCACUGCAGAGGAAUCCAUCCCUUUCCUGUUUCAGCUUCCAGAGGCCCCACAGCCCUUGUC
Molecule: long non-coding RNA, 2452 nt
Organism: Heterocephalus glaber (naked mole-rat)
Lineage: Eukaryota; Metazoa; Chordata; Mammalia; Rodentia; Bathyergidae
Source: RefSeq, a predicted model, not a curated record